RNAcentral lists this ribosomal RNA (2250 nucleotides) under Triticum aestivum (bread wheat). Its description in RNAcentral is "partial small subunit ribosomal RNA". Lineage: Eukaryota; Viridiplantae; Streptophyta; Magnoliopsida; Poales; Poaceae. The record is from RNAcentral.
AUGACGGUGGUAGCCGGGAUCGCGGUCCAGGAAGACGGCAGCCUGGCGGCGCUGGGGGCCACGGUCCUGAGGGAGGUGCGCGACAAUGUGCUCGUCACGCCGGCCGCCGGGGGCGGCAUGCUCAACGGCGCCUUCCUCGGCAUCCGGUCGGCCCCCGCCGGCAGCCGCAGCGUCUUCCCCGUCGGGAAGCUCAGGGACCUGCGAUUCAUGUGCACGUUCAGGUUCAAGAUGUGGUGGAUGACACAGAGGAUGGGGUCGUCGGGCCGCGACAUCCCCGUCGAGACGCAGUUCUUGAUCCUCGAGGCCGCCGACGACGCCGGAGACGAGAAAUCGGCGGUGUACACCGUCUUCCUCCCGAUCCUGGAGGGCUCAUUCCGAGCUGUACUACAGGGGAACGAAAAUGAUGAGCUGGAAAUUUGCUUGGAGAGUGGUGAUCCAGCUGUAGAAUCAUUUGAAGGCACCCAUCUAGUUUUCGUCGGUGCGGGAUCGGAUCCGUUUGAGGUCAUCACAAAUGCUGUCAAAGCAGUUGAGAGGCACCUGCAGACAUUCUCUCACAGGGAAAAAAAGAAGAUGCCAGACAUGCUAAACUGGUUUGGCUGGUGCACAUGGGAUGCAUUUUACACUGAUGUUACUGCUGAAGGAGUGAAGGAAGGACUACAGAGUUUUGAAAAAGGUGGAACAGCUCCAAAGUUUGACAUAAUUGAUGAUGGGUGGCAAUCGGUCAGUAUGGACCCUGCUGGAAGUGCAUUCGUAUCUGAUAAUGCAGCCAACUUCGCAAACAGAUUAUAUGAUAUCAAGGAGAACCACAAAUUUCAGAAAAAUGGGAGGAAGGGUCACAGGGAAGAAGAUCCAGCAAAUGGCCUCACGCAUAUUGUCAGUGAAAUUAAGGGGAAACAUGAGCUAAAGUACGUUUAUGUAUGGCAUGCGAUUACCGGAUAUUGGGGUGGCGUAAGGCCCGGUGCUGAUGGGAUGGAGCAUUACCAAUCAAAGAUGCAAUUCCCUGUGUCAUCACCAGGAGUUCAGAAGAACGAAUCCUGUGAGGCCUUCAACAGCAUAGCAGAUAACGGCCUUGGCCUUGUCAACCCUGACAAAGUAUUCAGCUUCUACAAUGAGCUCCAUUCAUAUCUUGCAUCUGCCGGGGUCGAUGGCGUGAAAGUAGACGUGCAGAACAUUCUCGAGGCGCUAGGCGGUGGUCAUGGUGGGAGAGUGGUUCUGGCGAGGAAGUAUCAGCAGGCUCUAGAAGCUUCCAUCGCACGGAAUUUCCGCGACAACGGUAUAAUAUGUUGCAUGAGCCACAACACUGAUAACUUAUACAGUUCAAAAAGAAACGCGGUUGUGAGAGCCUCCGAUGAUUUCUGGCCUAGAGACCCAGCUUCCCACACUAUACACAUCGCAUCUGUCGCGUACAAUACUGUUUUUCUUGGAGAGUUCAUGCAGCCGGACUGGGACAUGUUCCAUAGCGUUCACCCGAUGGCGGAAUACCACGCCGCGGCGCGGGCAGUCGGCGGUUGCGCUAUAUACGUGAGUGACAAACCUGGAAACCAUGACUUCGAUCUGCUGAGGAAGCUUGUGCUUCCUGACGGAUCGAUCCUGCGAGCCAAACUCCCCGGGAGACCGACCAGGGACUGCCUCUUCUCUGAUCCUGCAAGGGACAGCAAAAGCAUUCUCAAGAUCUGGAACCUGAACGCGCACUCCGGCGUCAUCGGCGCCUUCAACUGCCAAGGCGCCGGCUGGUGCCGGGAAGGGAAGAAGAACCUCAUCCACGACGUGCAGCCCGGGACCAUCACCGGGGCCGUCCGGGGGCGGGACGUCAGCCGCCUUCCGGAGGUCGCCGGCGAUGGCUGGAACGGCGACGUGGUCGUGUACUCGCACGUCGCAGGGGAGGUGACCGUCCUGCCCAAGGACGCGGCGCUGCCGGUGACGCUGAAGCCGCGCGAGUACGAGGUGUUCACCGUGGUGCCGCUGAAACGGCUGCCGAACGGCGCAUCCUUCGCGCCGGUCGGCCUGAUCGGGAUGUUCAACUCCGGCGGGGCGGUGACGGAGGUGAGGUACGGCGACGACGCCGGCGUGGAGGUGAAGGUGCGGGGAGCGGGCACGGUUGGAGCCUACUCCUCCGCGAGGCCGAAGAGCGUGGCUGUGGAUUCGGAGGCGGUUGGUUUCUCCUACGACGACGGCUCCGGCCUGGCCACGUUCGAGGUCGGCGUGCCGGAGCGGGAGCUCUAUUCGUGGACGGUCUCGGUAGAGUACUGA